RNAcentral lists this long non-coding RNA (3160 nucleotides) under Homo sapiens (human). RNAcentral's name for it is "HSALNT0185862". The record is from RNAcentral. Lineage: Eukaryota; Metazoa; Chordata; Mammalia; Primates; Hominidae.
GGGAGGGACCCCGUGGAAGGUGAUUGGAUCAUGAGGGUGGUUCCCUCAUGCUGUUCUUGGGAUAGUGGGUUCUAUAAAAUUUAUGGUUUUAUAAUGCAGUUUUCCCUUCUCUUGCAUGCUCUCUCUCCCCUGUCACCAUGUAAGACGUACCUCUUCCCCUUUUGCCAUGAUUAUAAGUUUCCUGAAGCCUCCCCAGCCAUGCAGAACUGUGAGUCAAUUAAACCUCUUUUCUUUAUAAAUUACCCAGUCUCGGGUAUGUCUUUAUAGCAGUGUGAAGACGGACUAAUACAAUAUGCUAAUGCAAGUGGGAAAACUAAGAUUGAUUUUGGAAUGAAACAUGCAGUCUCAACUUAAGAACACCCAAUUUACAAAACUAUAUAUAUCCAGACAGAGUCAUACUGAAUGCCAUGUUCUCCCACAUCAAUGUCAAAUGCUUAGCAUGGCCAGCAAAAAGCUGUUCCUUUGCUGUAAUGCAACCGUGUCUUCUGAAUAUGGAUCCAUAUUCACUUUCCAUCUUAUCCUCCAUCAGACACACUCUUCUUUUCCUAAAGCAUUUGCAGGGCAACAGAGGGUUCCAGGUUUCAGAAUUUAAACAGUCGUAUCUCAUUGAAAAUAAGUUUAAUGAUUAUUAAGUUUCCAAGCUAGAUUACAGAAGUCUUUUUAGCCCAUAUCAUAAAUAAAAUAGUUCUGAAUUUUUCGUAUGGAAAAAUAUACUCUGAGUUCCAAGCAAACAACUUAAGAAAAUUUUUAGAACUAACACAUUCCUAUAUUGGGAAGAGCUCAAAAGUCUGUUCUUCCUCCCCAUCCACUGUUGUUUAAUUAAUCUCUUAAUAUCAUAAAGUCCCUCAUGUGCCAAGUGUAGACAGUCAUUUUUGAAUCAGGGCUCACUUUGUUAGCUUUUUUGUCAAUUAAACCUCUUUUCUAUAUAAAUUACCGAGUCUCAAGUAUGUCUUCAUAGCAGUGUGAAAACAGACUAAUACAGGAAUUUGGUACCAGGAGUGGGGCAUUGCUAUAAAGAUACUUGAAAGUGUGGAAGCACCUUUGGAACUGGGUAACGGGUAGAGGUUGGAAGAGUUUGGAGGGCUCAGAAGAAGACAGGAAGAUGAAGGAAAGUUUGGAGCUUCCUGGAGACUUGUUGAAUGGUUUUAACCAAAAUGCUGACAGUGAUGUGGACGAUUAAGUCCACACUGAGGUGGUCUCAGAAGGAGAUGAGGAACUUAUUGGGAACUGGAGUUGCCAAUAGAUCAGCAGUUAACCAGAAGCUUGAGUUGAGUAUGGACCUGACAUAUGGAUAGACAUAUUGACAUCUUUAAAGUGAGUCACCCCUCCUCACAAUCUACUCCAAAAUUUCCAACAAGUUUUCUUCUUUUCAUUCUUCCUCCCACCAGCCUAUCCUAUUCCCUUCUCUCCCCCCACAAAAUCUAGCUCUUCUUUAAAUACAUUUAAACAUUUUCGCUAGGACAUUUCAUCUAUACAGGAUAUGCUAUAUUCUAACUAUUUCUUAGUAAACAUUGAAGGGAGUUUCUUCCUUUAUUCAAGUAUGGAACCCUGCUCAAUAUCCUUUUGGUCUUCAUAUGCCUUCUUUCAAGGCCUUUGUGAAAUUUUUUUCCAUGCCUGAAAGCCGGUGGGGUUUUACACAGGGACUGCGAUGGCUAAAUCCAAGGCAGAGUGGGAUCUUUAUCUAUUAACCAUUUGAUAACUCAAGUUUAUCCCUUGAUGAAUGAAUAAGUUAUCAUUUGCCUUUGGGUCCCAUUCUUGAGUGGUCAUGGAGAGUUCUGUAGCUCACCCUCUUUAUACUCAUAAUUUGCACAAAUUUCACCUAAGAGUAUUUACUUAACCACUUUAAUUCAAUUUGUCUCUACCUAAGACAUUUAAUUCAACAAAUAUUUUUUAAGCUUCUCUAUAAAAGGGACUCUGGCAACUUUCAGACCCGCACUGUAGCACCAGCUCUCUGCUGGCCCACCCCUUGCAGACUUUGGGCUUGCCUGCCUUCAAAAUCAUGUGAGUCAAUUCCUUAAAAUAAAUAUAUUUUUAUUUAUUUAUAUAUAUGUUUGCACACACACGCGAAUCUUAUUUUUUCUGUUUCUCUGGAGAAUUCUGACUAAUGCACCCCCAUUCACCAUCCAGGCUUUUGAGGAGAAAGAUACCAAUCUUAGCAGCAGAGGACACUCUGGAUAGAGCUAGGAGUUUGUUGCAGAGUCUGACAAAAGUUCCCUCUGCAGAAGGGAUGGAAGGAUAGCCUUGGGGGUUGAUUUAGGACUGGGUGUAUGACAUGGGGGAAAAGAAAUCCCUGGGGGAGCUAAAUGAGGGGAGGUGGACCCCUUAUGAUAGUUUAUCAGAGCAAUCUAAGAAAUCAUGUAGGCCUCUAAGAAAGCAUCAAGAAUCAAUGCAAUUUGAUUAAUUGACUUAAAAUAUGUUGAACUUUUCAGCCUCCAUUGUGUAUUUUUGGUGCAAUACUCUGUGCAACUAUUUCAUCCAAGACCAGAAGGGGCUGGAAGAUUGCCUGCUUCACAUUAAAACCCUCCUUAUUGUAUUGGUGCUGACACGACACAAGGAUAUGCAGUCUUUAUCCAGUCCUUAUUGCUCACAGAAAGAUACCAGUCCUUACUGCUCACAGAAAGUAGUGAAGCCUCCCUUCACUCACAGAGCCCACACAGGUAUGCCCUGGUUUAUGUAAUGAAUGGGCUGCUACAAAUAGGUGUGAUGCAUGCCUUUGUGAAUCACUUUAUAUUUUGAAGACACAUUAGAGGAGCUGGCUAUUUCAAAGAAAUUUCACAAGUGCCUCAUUUCUUAAUGUCACAAGCAUUUCUGAUUUAUAAUCAUAACCCCUUUCUAAUGUAUUAGCUUAUGAAGUUCCAUUUUUUGCCUAAGAGGUUUAAUCAAAGCAAGAUAAAACUAUGCUUAAUAAUAUUCAGUUACCUGAAAGAGCUAUUGCAGAAAUGCCUAAUAUAUUACCAGAAAGUAGCUUAAUGUCUCAAAUAAAUGUCAAGUUGUCCAAAUCAAACUGAUAGGCAGCUUAAUGAGGGAUAAAUGUCAUAAUUAUCCAUAUUUCUCCACAUUUUUUUUAGAAAAAAACAUUCACACAAUGAAGGGAAUCAGAAUCUGUUUUUAUAUCCCUAGAGUUAUAAACAUUUGUAUCAAAAUAUUUACAAUUAUAGUA